GCUAUUUUGGCAGAAAAAUGUGAUGAUUUUAGAAGUCAUUAAUGUAUAAUUUAUUAUAUAUAUAGUA
This 67-nucleotide transfer RNA is filed under the name Langia zenzeroides. Its description in RNAcentral is "tRNA-Leu". The record is from RNAcentral. Lineage: Eukaryota; Metazoa; Arthropoda; Insecta; Lepidoptera; Sphingidae.